GAUGAACGCUAGCGGCAGGCUUAACACAUGCAAGUCGAGGGGUAUAGUUCUUCGGAACUAGAGACCGGCGCACGGGUGCGUAACGCGUAUGUAAUCUACCUUUUACAGGGGGAUAGCCCAGAGAAAUUUGGAUUAAUACCCCAUAGUAUGUUGUGGUGGCAUCACUAUAACAUUAAAGUUCCAACGGUAAAAGAUGAGCAUGCGUCCCAUUAGCUAGAUGGUAAGGUAACGGCUUACCAUGGCUACGAUGGGUAGGGGUCCUGAGAGGGAGAUCCCCCACACUGGUACGGAGACACGGACCAGACUCCUACGGGAGGCAGCAGUGAGGAAUAUUGGACAAUGGGCGCAGGCCUAAUCCAGCCAUGCCGCGUGCAGGACGACUGCCCUAUGGGUUGUAAACUGCUUUUGUACGGGAAUAACCCUCUCUACGAGUAGAGGGCUGAACGUACCGUAAGAAUAAGGAUCGGCUAACUCCGUGCCAGCAGCCGCCGUAA
Molecule: ribosomal RNA, 494 nt
Filed under: uncultured bacterium
Lineage: Bacteria
Description: partial 16S ribosomal RNA
Rfam family: Bacterial small subunit ribosomal RNA
Source: RNAcentral